This 1084-nucleotide small RNA is filed under the name Arabidopsis thaliana (thale cress). RNAcentral's name for it is "ATSL100420". Lineage: Eukaryota; Viridiplantae; Streptophyta; Magnoliopsida; Brassicales; Brassicaceae. The record is from RNAcentral.
UAAUAGCGAGAAGCUUGACAGGAUUUUGACAAUCCUUGAAGAUCUUAACAAGAGAGUCGAGCUGAUUGAGAGGAUUUUGGACAUUAGAAUGGAGGAAAAGAAUAAUCAGAGAUCUGAGGAAGAUGAAGAAAGAAAACAAGAAGAUGAAGGAGUAGAAAGACAACCAGAGGUAAUUGUAAAUGUUUCUUUAAAAGCUAUUUGAAAGGAAAGGUUUUACAAUGUAUUUUAAAGGUUAAAUACGUAGUAAACCUUUACAAUGUACUCUUUUUUUUCGCAGGCUGAAGAAGAAGGAGGACUAGAAAGAAAAGCAGAGGUAAUUGAAAAUCUUUACAAGCUAUUUUAAAGGUCUACUAAUUAUAUUAAUGAUUGACUUAUUGUUUUUAUUUUGUUGCAGAAUGACAAUGAAUCAUUUGAAGAUUCAAUCCGAGAGCCAAACACACAGUAUGGGAGCUAUCCGGGUGAUGAUGAAAACACCCAACGUGAUGUUGGUGAUGAAGUAGCUGAAGAAUCAUCAAAAGUACAGUGAUUUAUAUCUCUAAAAGUCUUACAAAAAUGAUUAGUAUCCUUUUUAUAAUUUUACAUUCUGUUAUCUUUUCAAGGAUAAGUCUCCUACUCCACGAUCCUCUACACCAAAUUUCAAUAUUUUGUCUGAAGAAAGUCUGGAUGUUCAAAAGGAUAAGAAGAGAGUUAGCAGAGGAAGAAAUGAGGUUAGCAUUUAAAAAAAUUUGUAUUAUCUAACCAAGUGUUUAUAAUAUUGUUUUCAAAUCUUUAAAAGUUUAUCUUUCAUGCAACUUCAGAACAAGAGAGUUAAACCAAGUGUUCAUGCUGAGGAUAAUCUUAAAACAAGAAAACAGGUUAGUAUUUGCAACAGUACUGUUUUUAAAAUUUGUCAAUUGUCUUGUUAUGAUAUUUACAAGGGAUUUUAAAAGUACUUUUAAUUGGUGUUUUUUACUAUUCUAGGUACCGAGAAAGAGGCAGAAACAAGUUGAUAGUGCUGAUGUUGAUGUUCCAACAAGGAAAGAGGUUAGUAUCUAAUUUAUUAUGAUUUUGAAAAUUUUGUUUACAAGGUAUUUUAAACAUCUGU